UUCUACUUAAUAUUCUGCCUUUUUAACCUCUUGAUUCCUUAGAAAGAAUAAUUUAUAAUAGAAUUUGUUUGGAUGGCAUUUGGGCUUAAUUUUUCUUUUCUGCUUGGUGUAAGGAAGGAUGUAAUAGAGCUCAACAAAGAUGUCACAAGGAGGAAAUGUAACAAAAAACCUGAGGACGUUGUUUCAGUUUUUUUCCUAAGUUUUCCUCAAGAUACACAUAACACAUUCAGCACUUUUCCUCAUAUAGUCUCAAGCCUUUGAACAGAACAUAGCUUUUCUUAAAUUUAACCAUUAGCUUUCUGUGUAAAAAAGAGCAACAGAAUACUUUAGAAUACCUAAUACAGCUGGGUUUUUUUUCCUGCUCUUUUAUAGCAACCUAAGAUGGGAGAACAGGUUCUUCCCACGCAGCAGAAUCCCUGGUGCCUUUUUUGAACUGGAUUGCCAAAAAUUGCCUUUGCCUUUCUCUUCAGAACUACAGUGUUGAAUAUGGUUACGAUCACCCUCUAUUUUUCCAAUAUUGAUGUGGCCACAUUAUACAAGUUUAAAAUAGACAGGAAAUGGGACAAUAAUUCCCCAUCUGAAACAUGGAUUUUGUAUAGUCAUGGUUUUGUUUACCCCACAGUGUUCUUUAAGCAAUCACUUGUUAUCUUUUACUGGUGCCAAGGUUAACCCUCAUAAAACAACAGUAUUUGUACUAAGCAACCUAUUUAAAAUAUUUAACAUUCUUAGAUGCUCUGUUUAUCUAAGUGGCAUAUUCAUUUUUCCUUUUCCUGACCAAACUCAUAGAAAUAUAUUUUCUUCCUUCAAGAAAUGGGAAAACAAAGUUUAUUUAGUUAUGGAUUUGGUUCUGAACAAUUUUAAUCCACUUCCUUAUCCUUCUAUGAAAUUUUCCUGCCUUGGGAUAAAAUUAUUUAUUGAUAUCAUGCAGUAACAGAUGCAUGCAUUACAUGCUCAUGCAGACAGGGAAAUUUUUAUCCUCAGGAGACUUGAAAGGUUGGAGGAUCUUUUAGUCCAAUAAACUUUUCAAGUUUAUAGGAAUGAAAAAAACCCAAACAAAAGCAAAUAGAAACCCCAAACAAAACCUGUUUCCUGUUGAUGAAUGGAGCACUGAGGCUGAGGAGCAGCAGUGGCACAGAGCUCAGCUAAGGGCCUGGCUCAGGGAAUACCAUGUGGAUAAAGCAGGCUGGCUGUGGCCAGGGGCAGCUGCAAUGAGACCUCGUUACAAGUGCACAAAGUGAGAUAAAGCCUGAGGACCUGGCAGCAACGAAAUUCCCCAUCUCGCUGCUGCUUUCAAAAUGCUUGCAGAAUGCCAGCUGAAAUGAAGAGUACUAAGGAGGUGAAUUGCACUGAAGAUUUUCGACAUCCUUUUGAAAGCUUCCUGCAGGAAAGAUGAAAUUUCAAACCUGUAUAUUAUCUGAACCUUGAUCUCAUCCUGUCUGCUAUUGAAAUAUAUGACCCAAAAGUGCUUCCCUCUGAAUUAGGCACUCAUCGUGCAUUUUAACCUUCUUGGACAAAAUUAUGCAGGUCUCUGGGUUGCCUGCAUGAGUUAUCUUUUAUUCAUUAGAAUCCUAAAUGUUAUUGACAUGCAUUCUUAAUUAUUCCCUGCUGGAACCAGUAGUGUUCCUGAGCAAGUAUUUUACAUUUGUUAUGUCCUGCUGCUAGCACAGUUAAUAAUGUAUAUAAUAAUAAAAUAAGAAACUAUCAGAGCAGAAUAAAAGAACUUAUUAAUAUGAUUCAACAUGAUUUCACAGCCUAACAACAACAUUUUCUGAAUACUUCAAGCAUGCAAAACCUUUGGGAUAGGUCUAGCAUGGAAAUGUCACUACCAAAAGAAAAGCUGGCAAGAUGUCACCUGCUGUCCCUCCAAAAGCAUUAACUGGAGAAGUACCUUCCUUAGUGCAACUCAAGGUGUUACCAAAAGCUUUCAAAAGUGGUAUCUGGACAUGUGUCUGGAAUUAGUGGUUGUUUAU
Molecule: non-coding RNA, 1970 nt
Organism: Cyanistes caeruleus (blue tit)
Lineage: Eukaryota; Metazoa; Chordata; Aves; Passeriformes; Paridae
Source: RefSeq, a predicted model, not a curated record